Molecule: long non-coding RNA, 830 nt
Organism: Astyanax mexicanus (Mexican tetra)
Lineage: Eukaryota; Metazoa; Chordata; Actinopteri; Characiformes; Acestrorhamphidae
Exons: 2
Source: RefSeq, a predicted model, not a curated record
AUAUAUAUAUUUGGUGGAAUAACCCUUGUUUCUUAUCACAGUUUUUAUUGUGGCGUCUUGGCAUGUUCUCCCUCCUCCACCAGUCUUACACACUGCUUUUGGAUAACUUUAUGCUGCUUUACUCCUGGUGCAAAAAUUCAAGCAGUUCAGUUUGGUUUGAUGUUCAUCUUGUGAUCAUCCAUCUUCCUUUAGAUUAUAUUCAAGAGGUUUUUAAUUUGGUAAAAUGAAAGAAGCUCAUCAUUUUUAAGUGCUCUCUUAUUUAUUUAUUUUUAUUUUUUUUCCAGAGCUGUAUAUAAACACUGGAAAUAAUUAAAGGUGUUCAUUAAGAUUUUUUUCAGUUGUUUAUUAUCAGCCCUUAAAGGUUCAUUUCUAGAAGUCCCUCAAAUAUUCAGGGCGCAGAAACGACAGGAUGGUGUCGAUGAAACGCAGUUGAUGAAAGCUGAAAGGAAUUUCAGAUAUCGCAUAUGGUGUCUAUAACUGAGCUUCUGUAAUGCAUGGGCGGCCGUUUGACAGAUUGCAGUACUUUUCCAAUUUUCAUCCCACCCUGCGGUAAAAAUGUGCAUGUGUGCGUGAGCCGUUAUCUAAAUUGAAUCAGUAACAACACUGGCACACAGUUAUCUUCUUUAAAAGCAGUUUAAUGAAAUUACAAAAAAAGUAUACAGAAAAAAAUAGAUCAAACAUAGUGCAAAAAGAUGUAAAGUGCUUCCACAGACCUGGGAACAGUCCGAAGGUACGAUUCAGUAAAGGUGCUUUUUUUUUUUUAAGUAAGACUUAGACUAAGAGAAUAAGCUGUUUACAUGUGAUCAAACGAUUCGUAUUAUUUUUUUUUU